AAUGUAGAGCCUGAAACUAAAGGGUUAUCUUGAUGUGAUAAAAUUUGUAAUAUUUUACCUACAUUA
This 66-nucleotide transfer RNA is filed under the name Euparatettix tridentatus. RNAcentral's name for it is "tRNA-Ile". Lineage: Eukaryota; Metazoa; Arthropoda; Insecta; Orthoptera; Tetrigidae. The record is from RNAcentral.